This 500-nucleotide ribosomal RNA is filed under the name uncultured bacterium. Its description in RNAcentral is "bacterial SSU rRNA". It matches the Rfam family "Bacterial small subunit ribosomal RNA", at positions 29 to 518 of the family's 1533-position model. The record is from RNAcentral.
AGUGAACGCUGGCGGCAGGCCUAAUACAUGCAAGUCGAACGGCAGCACGGCAGAGCUUGCUCUGUGGGUGGCGAGUGGCGGACGGGUGAGGAAUACAUGGGAAUCUGCCCAGUCGUGGGGGAUAACGUAGGGAAACUUACGCUAAUACCGCAUGCGCCCUUCGGGGGAAAGCCGGGGACCUUCGGGCCUGGCGCGAUUGGAUGAGCCCAUGUCGGAUUAGCUAGUUGGCGGGGUAAUGGCCCACCAAGGCGACGAUCCGUAGCUGGUCUGAGAGGAUGAUCAGCCACACUGGAACUGAGACACGGUCCAGACCCCUACGGGAGGCAGCAGUAGGGAAUAUUGGACAAUGGGCGCAAGCCUGAUCCAGCCAUGCCGCGUGAGUGAAGAAGGCCCUCGGGUUGUAAAGCUCUUUUGUCCGGAAAGAAAAGCGCCGGGUUAAUACCCUGGUGUCCUGACGGUACCGGAAGAAUAGCACCGGCUAACUCGUGCCAGCAGCCGAC